RNAcentral lists this long non-coding RNA (4009 nucleotides) under Homo sapiens (human). RNAcentral describes it as "PCBP1 antisense RNA 1, transcript variant 64 (PCBP1-AS1)". Lineage: Eukaryota; Metazoa; Chordata; Mammalia; Primates; Hominidae. The record is from RNAcentral.
GUCCCCGGCGUCCGGGCGCCCUGCAUGGAUCCCCCACCCCAGCUCCUGCUCCCCGGCGGCGGCCGGUGGGCAGAAAGACCGAAACCCACUCACGGCCGCCUGCCGAAUCGCGGCUCUGCUGUUUGUGGGGCGUGCUAGAAACGUGGUCCUAAAAAGAAUGGCGUCCAUUUACAUAAUGCUUUGUUUGCGUUUCGCAAGUUUCUUUCGGUUAAAGCCACAGAAACCCCACCUCCUGCCCUUGUGUCGUUUCCACCGCGGCACCCUUUUCCGACAUUAGAAACAAUAGUGUACGCCUGUGGAGGCCUCGUUUGUUCAGGGGCUGCCGGCCAGGGCUUCAGGACGUUUCUGCGGCUUUCCCCGCGCGGCCUGGGCUCCCGCGGCUGCUUUUCGGGCCCAUGGGCGCAGCCACUGCGCCAGGCUCAAGGGGGGCGGCCCCGUCAGGGCCCGCCAUCUUGGAAGGCCUUUUUUGCCGGUUCUUCCCGCUGAGGAAGUGUCGCUCAAGACGCUGGCCUAUGAGUUGUGAUUUCUGCCUUUUCCCCUUCCUCCUUGGGCUAAGCCAGACCAGAAAGGGCCCCGUGCGCAACGUGCUUCACAAUCUCUCAGGGAAAGCGGCUAACGUGGCGCUACUCCGCCUCCCCUGUUCCUUACCCUUGGGGCGGCCGCCAUGUUUCCUGAACACAAAAUGGCGACACGUGGUUAGCAUUCGUCGCCAACGAGAAAUUGGGGUCGGCCCGAAAGCUCUAGAAUGCACCCCUCUUCCUCCCCGGGGCCUUCCACCUCCGCGAGUUUUAUGACUUAAAAAAGCCCACAGGCUGGUCUGAAGGUCGGAGGCCUAAUUUUAACGCGUUUUCCUCCCUUUAAUUUGAAACGGGAACGCGAAUGACUGUAAAAUGUGGGCACAAUAUUUAAUCUCUCGCCUUUUUAAAGCUUAAUAGUGGAUAAUAGGGGGGCAGUAUCAAGGGAUAAUUUGGGUCCCCACAGUACCAAAGCAUUUAGAAACCUCUGUUUAAUUUAAGGAAUGAGAUAAGUUACUGCUUUUCUAGACUUCCUAGCAUGGGCUGUUGUGCUGGAGAGAACGAGAGCUACGAAGAGACUACAGUGCCUCUGACUUUUUCAUAGGACAGUUGGCCGAGGAAGACAAACAUAAAGAUGAAGUGCUUAAUUCAAGGUCACACAAUGUCGGGGAUGGACCUCCAGAUUUCCUUACUGACCUGCAUUAUCUUGUGGAUACCUGAGUGAAUUCCACACCACCCAUUUUAUAGAUGAAACCACUGAGACAUGGAGCAAUUGACUGAGUAGUCACUGCCCCACCCCUGCCUGGAGCCUCACACAUGACUCGCCUCCUCUCAGUGACCACAGGUUGGUUGAGGGGUUUAACAAGGCUAAGAAGGUGAGACGUGGUCUUGUAACACAGUGGUUAAGAAUGUGACUUUGGAGCCAGCCUGCUAGGGGCUGAAUUCUGACUCAGCCAUUUACUAACUGUGUGACCUUAGGUAAGUCAUUUACCUUCUUUGUCCCUCAGUUUCAUCUCGGUUAAGUAGGGAUAAUGAUAGCACCUAUUUUAUAGGGUUAUUGUGAGGAAUAAAUCCAAGUAAAAUGCUUAGAAUAGUAACUGAAACAUAGCACUCAUUAGGAAUGCUUUAAUUUUCAUUUAUUUGAGUAUUAAAGGUUGAAUUUUCAGAGGUAUUUUGGACCUUUGUAUUUUUUCUUUAAAUCACUUAUUCAUGACUUUUGAACUUUUUUUUUUCUUUUAGAGACAGGGUCUUGGUUUGUUGUCUAGGCUGGAAUGCAGUGGUGCAAUCAUAGCUCACUGUAGCCUUGAACUCUUGGGCUCAAGAGAUCCUCCUGCCUCAGCCUCGUGAGUAGCUGGGCCUACAGGCGCCUGCUACCACACCUGGCUAAUUUUUUAUUUUUUGUAGAGAUGGGUUCUUGCAGCCCAGACUGGUCUUGAGCUUUGGCCUGAAGUGCUCCUCCUGCCUUGGCCUCUCAAAGCAUUGGGGUUACAGGUGUGAAGCACUGCACCUUGCCUACACAUUUUUUCCAAUAAUUUUUUUUAUUAAUUUGUAAGAGUUAACAUGUCGACUAUCAUAUAUAACAUAGAAUUGUUCCCAUUUUGUCAUUUCCUUUCAACUUUGUCUAUGUAGCUUUUUUUCUGUGUGCAAAUUUUACAUUUUUAGGUAGUCAGAAAAUCUCUUCCCUUGUAAUUUUUUCUGCUACUAGACCAAUGUUUAGAAAAAAGCGUGCUUCCCCACCUCAAAAUUAUAAAAAUAGUUACUUGUUCUUUUUGAGUACUGUGUGUGUUUAAAUCUUUAAUCUUUAAAUUUAAAUCUUUGAUCCAUCUGGUAUUUAUUUUGAUAUGAAGAGAGUGGUUGGGAUCUGGCUGUAUUUCUUUUUUCUUUUUUUUUCUUUUUUCUUUUUUUGACGAAGUCUCACUGUUGCUCAGGCUGGAGUGCAAUGGCAUGAUCUCGGCUCAUCACAACCUCUGCUUCCUGGGUUCAAGCGAUUCUCCUGCCUCAGCCUCCCGAGUACCUGGGACUACAGGCACUCGCCACCAUGCCCGGCUGAUUUUUGUAUUUUUAAUAGAGAUGGUUUCACUAUGUUGGCCAGGCUGGUCUCGAACUCCUGACCUUGUGAUCUGCCCACCUCAGCCUCGAAAAGUGCUGGGAUUACAGGCGUGAGCCACUGCGCCCAGCCUUGUAUUUUUUUUCAGUUUGGGUAGCUGUCCCUAAUUCAUUUGUUAAAGGAGAAGCAAGAGCAAGAACCUUUAAUCUGUUCUCCUCUUCCCUAAUUUGAAAGUAGCUUGUUAUUUUGAAUAUCACUUUCUCUGAAAUAGCACAUCUCCAUCUCAGAGAAUGGAUUUAAUGUUUGGAUACAGCCAAAAGUCAUUUCAUUACCAAACCAUGGGGUGAAUAUACCAUGUAAAGCAGUUUGGGAUCAGAACUCACAGUCUGAAUUGUAAGUGAUGAGACUGCUGUCUCUCUGCUACAGCUUCUUGGCUGGCUCUGAAGGCUCUUUGAAGGCAGAUCCUAACAAGGGGACUGCUUUGAAGGGCCAUUGUUCAUUUGGAAUGAUAAAGUCUAUGUUGUUCAAAAAACAAAUGCUUGUAGCAGGUAUUUUUUCACUCCAGACUGAGAAUAUUGGUGGGAUAUUGAUAAGGGGUACUGAAUGGUAAUAAACAUGUGCUCUAGCUCUGUGCUAGUCAGCUUAUUUCAGAACUCUAGUUUGAUUCAGUUUCUUGCCUCUGACUCAAAAUGGAGGGAGAGUGAUUUUUACAUAAGAGAACACACCCACAUAUCCUUUUGGCAGCAGCUACCUGCCAGAGAUGUUGAAGAAGAGUAGCCAACCUUUACACAGCAGAUAUUGUGUGCCAGUCAUAGUCCUAAGUAUAAUACCUUACAUGUAUAAACUUCUUAUAAGGUUGGUGCUCUGUACCGAAUUGAAUAGUAUCCCCCAAAAUUCAUGUUGUCCCAGAACCUAUGAAAGUGAUCUUACUUGAGGGAGGGGGGAGGGGGGAGGGAUAGCAUUAGGAGAUAUACCUAAUGCUAAAUGACGAGUUAAUGGGUGUAGCACACCAGCAUGGCACAUGUAUACAUAUGUAACUAACCUGCACAUUGUGCACAUGUACCCUAAAACUUAAAGUAUAAUAAUAAUAAAAUAAAAAAAAAAAAGAAAGUGAUCUUACUUGGAAAUAAGGUCUUUGCACAUAUGAUCAAGUUGAGAUGAAGUUGUACUGGAAAGUCUGUCUAGUGACUGGUGUUGUCAUAAGAAGAGAGGGACACAGAGGGAAGAUGGCCACAUGAAGAUGGAGGCAGAGAUUGCAGUUAUGCUGCUGCAAACUAAGGAAUGGCUCUGGCCCUCCAAGGAUUGCUGAUAACCACCAGAAACUAGAAGAGACAAGGAAGGAUUCUUCCCUAGAGCCUUCAGAGGGAGCAUGGCCCUACUGACACCUGGAUUUCAAACUUGUAGCUUCCUAAACUGCAAGAGAAUAAAUUUCUGUUGUUUUAAGCCA